This 1408-nucleotide long non-coding RNA is filed under the name Homo sapiens (human). RNAcentral describes it as "MIR4435-2 host gene". Lineage: Eukaryota; Metazoa; Chordata; Mammalia; Primates; Hominidae. The record is from RNAcentral.
AAGGCUCUGCCGACUUCCAGUUCUGGAACAAGAUGGUUAAACUCAUUUUUCCCUGCUCUGCUCCUCUAAAUACAACUAAGUACCUUGGAAACUAUUCAGCAGACAAUGAUAAAGGGCUCUGAAAGCUAGAAGAAAAGGUGUACUUGCAAGAAACCUCAGGACUUGAGUAACAGCAACAUGGCAGGCCAGAAAGCAGACCCAGGGAGGAUAGCACAUGUCUUCGGCUACACUGGUGAAGGCAUCGUGCCUGCUCCACAGCACAUUUUUAUUCAAGAACAAUCCAUUUCACAGAUGAAGAAACAGACUCAGUGAGCACGUGAUCACUUCUCACAACUAAUGGAGCCAAGAUUCUGUCCUUAUGGCUCCAGAGACCUCUUUUUUUUCCCACUGUACCACAACACUCACCAGGACUGGAGUGCCACCUAUGACCUCAUUGCAUAAUGGAUGGCUUGUCCUCAAAUGGGCCCGGUCUUGGACGAGCCUGAGGAUGUCUACAAGUGGAAGAAAAGAAGCCACUGGAGCAGAAGGUGGGGAGGAUAAAAUUUGGAGCAAGAUUCUCAAGGAAGCAACAAGAUCCUAAGCUCACCAAGCUCCUGUAUCUACUGGAAAAUGGAAGUCCAGCCUUACCAACUUGUGAACCUUGUCUGAAGGGAGCCAGGGCCUGCCAAUGGAACCACCUCCAGGAGCUGCAACUGCUGUUGUCAUUAAUACCAUUGUGUCUAUUUUUUGAGAGAGAUAAACUUUUCAUGGUGUUACAUUUUGGAAAAAAAAAAAAAAGACUAGGUGAACAGUCAGGUAGGAAAGCAGCAUAACAGUCCCUUAAAUUCUGAUCAUGUAGGACAUUCUUCUUUGCCCUGGGCCUGGGAAAAUGCAGCAUGUUCCAGAGCAAAAGUCCUAAUGAGGGGAACUAAACCAGUGGGACCCAAACCAAUGUCCUGGCUCACUGAGGACCCGUUAGAACCAAAUCUCUGGGUGUGGACAGGCUCCCAUACUUUUCAAAAAUUCCCCUGAUGACUAAUGAACAACCAGAGGUAAGAACCAGUGGCCCAGAGGAAUAACCAGCCCAGCUGUUGUACGAGCUCGCUAAGCUGGCUCAGGUCAAUGUUGAAUUCUCUGCUAGGCAGCUCCUCAUAAGAACUGGCAGAGAUGGUUCUUACACAACAACAGGUGACAACUCCAGACUCUGCCGGAAGUUCCAGGAUCUGGGUUCCCGGACAAUGCAUGACACUCAGUCCAGCAUUGCAGGUGGAAGAGCGACGGUGAAAAGACCAAAGUCAAUUAAAAUGUGUUAACCAAAACAGGAAACAUGAGUGAGGUGAUUGAGAGUGUGUUUAACUUAGAUGUGUGAUUUUAUCAAUACUUUCAUUGUUCAAAAACUCUUAUUUUUUAAAGAUAUUUUCAAAACAAA